Molecule: ribosomal RNA, 18 nt
Filed under: Paraphyton cookiellum
Lineage: Eukaryota; Fungi; Ascomycota; Eurotiomycetes; Onygenales; Arthrodermataceae
Also listed under: 1 other name
Description: partial 28S ribosomal RNA
Source: RNAcentral
ACAAUUUUCAGGUUGACC